Molecule: ribosomal RNA, 253 nt
Filed under: uncultured bacterium
Lineage: Bacteria
Description: partial 16S ribosomal RNA
Rfam family: Bacterial small subunit ribosomal RNA
Source: RNAcentral
GACGAACCGUGCGAACGUUGUUCGGAAUCACUGGGCUUAAAGGGCGCGUAGGCGGGCUGCCAAGUCCGGGGUGAAAUCUUUCGGCUCAACCGGAAAAGUGCCUUGGAUACUGGCGGCCUUGAGGGAGGUAGGGGUAUGUGGAACUUCCGGUGGAGCGGUGAAAUGCGUUGAUAUCGGAAGGAACGCCGGUGGCGAAAGCGACGUACUGGACCUCUUCUGACGCUGAGGCGCGAAAGCUAGGGGAGCGAACGGG